Molecule: ribosomal RNA, 515 nt
Filed under: uncultured eukaryote
Lineage: Eukaryota
Description: SSU rRNA
Rfam family: Eukaryotic small subunit ribosomal RNA
Source: RNAcentral
CUUGUCUCAAAGAUUAAGCCAUGCAUGUCUAAGUAUAAGCAAUCUAUACGGUGAAACUGCGAAUGGCUCAUUAAAUCAGUUAUCGUUUAUUUGAUAGUACCUUACUACUUGGAUAACCGUGGUAAUUCUAGAGCUAAUACAUGCUAAAAACCCCGACUUCGGAAGGGGUGUAUUUAUUAGAUAAAAAACCAAUGCCCUUCGGGGCUCCUUGGUGAUUCAUAAUAACUUAACGAAUCGCAUGGCCUUGUGCCGGCGAUGGUUCAUUCAAAUUUCUGCCCUAUCAACUUUCGAUUGUAAGGUAGUGGCUUACAAUGGUUUCAACGGGUAACGGGGAAUUAGGGUUCUAUUCCGGAGAGGGAGCCUGAGAAACGGCUACCACAUCCAAGGAAGGCAGCAGGCGCGCAAAUUACCCAAUCCCGACACGGGGAGGUAGUGACAAUAAAUACUGAUACAGGGCUCUUUUGGGUCUUGUAAUUGGAAUGAGUACAAUUUAAAUCCCUUAACGAGGAACAAUU